This 62-nucleotide ribozyme is filed under the name unclassified sequences. RNAcentral's name for it is "pistol ribozyme". It matches the Rfam family "Pistol ribozyme". The record is from RNAcentral.
CGUCGGCGUGGCGACGGUAAAAAGGGCAUUAAGCCACGAGCGUUGUCAGAAGACAGGUUGCC